RNAcentral lists this ribosomal RNA (390 nucleotides) under Staphylococcus aureus. RNAcentral's name for it is "bacterial SSU rRNA". It matches the Rfam family "Bacterial small subunit ribosomal RNA", at positions 1145 to 1533 of the family's 1533-position model. The record is from RNAcentral. Lineage: Bacteria; Bacillati; Bacillota; Bacilli; Caryophanales; Staphylococcaceae.
UUGACUGCCGGUGACAAACCGGAGGAAGGUGGGGAUGACGUCAAAUCAUCAUGCCCCUUAUGAUUUGGGCUACACACGUGCUACAAUGGACAAUACAAAGGGCAGCGAAACCGCGAGGUCAAGCAAAUCCCAUAAAGUUGUUCUCAGUUCGGAUUGUAGUCUGCAACUCGACUACAUGAAGCUGGAAUCGCUAGUAAUCGUAGAUCAGCAUGCUACGGUGAAUACGUUCCCGGGUCUUGUACACACCGCCCGUCACACCACGAGAGUUUGUAACACCCGAAGCCGGUGGAGUAACCUUUUAGGAGCUAGCCGUCGAAGGUGGGACAAAUGAUUGGGGUGAAGUCGUAACAAGGUAGCCGUAUCGGAAGGUGCGGCUGGAUCACCUCCUUU